Molecule: ribosomal RNA, 666 nt
Filed under: Mycobacterium sp.
Lineage: Bacteria; Bacillati; Actinomycetota; Actinomycetes; Mycobacteriales; Mycobacteriaceae
Description: bacterial SSU rRNA
Rfam family: Bacterial small subunit ribosomal RNA
Source: RNAcentral
GGAGCGAAAGCGUGGGGAGCGAACAGGAUUAGAUACCCUGGUAGUCCACGCCGUAAACGGUGGGUACUAGGUGUGGGUUUCCUUCCUUGGGAUCCGUGCCGUAGCUAACGCAUUAAGUACCCCGCCUGGGGAGUACGGCCGCAAGGCUAAAACUCAAAGAAAUUGACGGGGGCCCGCACAAGCGGCGGAGCAUGUGGAUUAAUUUGAUGCAACGCGAAGAACCUUACCUGGGUUUGACAUGCACAGGACGUGCCUAGAGAUAGGUAUUCCCUUGUGGCCUGUGUGCAGGUGGUGCAUGGCUGUCGUCAGCUCGUGUCGUGAGAUGUUGGGUUAAGUCCCGCAACGAGCGCAACCCUCGUCCUAUGUUGCCAGCGGGUUAUGCCGGGGACUCGUAGGAGACUGCCGGGGUCAACUCGGAGGAAGGUGGGGAUGACGUCAAGUCAUCAUGCCCCUUAUGUCCAGGGCUUCACACAUGCUACAAUGGCCGGUACAAAGGGCUGCGAUGCCGUGAGGUGGAGCGAAUCCUUUCAAAGCCGGUCUCAGUUCGGAUCGGGGUCUGCAACUCGACCCCGUGAAGUCGGAGUCGCUAGUAAUCGCAGAUCAGCAACGCUGCGGUGAAUACGUUCCCGGGCCUUGUACACACCGCCCGUCACGUCAUGAAAGUCG